UAGGGAAUCUUCGGCAAUGGACGAAAGUCUGACCGAGCAACGCCGCGUGAGUGAAGAAGGUUUUCGGAUCGUAAAACUCUGUUGUAAGAGAAGAACGUGUGUGAGAGUGGAAAGUUCACACAGUGACGGUAACUUACCAGAAAGGGACGGCUGACUACGUGCCAG
This 165-nucleotide ribosomal RNA is filed under the name uncultured bacterium. Its description in RNAcentral is "partial 16S rRNA". It matches the Rfam family "Bacterial small subunit ribosomal RNA", at positions 355 to 511 of the family's 1533-position model. The record is from RNAcentral.